AAAGAAAAUUCGAUUCCCUUAGUAGCGGCGAGCGAAACGGGAAGAGCCCAAACCAACAAGCUUGCUUGUUGGGGUUGUAGGACACUCUAUACGGAGUUACAAAGGACGACAUUAGACGAAUCAUCUGGAAAGAUGAAUCAAAGAAGGUAAUAAUCCUGUAGUCGAAAAUGUUGUCUCUCUUGAGUGGAUCCUGAGUACGACGGAACACGUGAAAUUCCGUCGGAAUCUGGGAGGACCAUCUCCUAAGGCUAAAUACUCUCUAGUGACCGAUAGUGAACCAGUACCGUGAGGGAAAGGUGAAAAGCACCCCGGAAGGGGAGUGAAAUAGAACCUGAAACCGUGUGCUUACAAGUAGUCAGAGCCCGUUAAUGGGUGAUGGCGUGCCUUUUGUAGAAUGAACCGGCGAGUUACGAUUUGAUGCAAGGUUAAGCAGUAAAUGUGGAGCCGUAGCGAAAGCGAGUCUGAAUAGGGCGUUUAGUAUUUGGUCGUAGACCCGAAACCAGGUGAUCUACCCUUGGUCAGGUUGAAGUUCAGGUAACACUGAAUGGAGGACCGAACCGACUUACGUUGAAAAGUGAGCGGAUGAACUGAGGGUAGCGGAGAAAUUCCAAUCGAACCUGGAGAUAGCUGGUUCUCUCCGAAAUAGCUUUAGGGCUAGCCUCAAGUGAUGAUUAUUGGAGGUAGAGCACUGUUUGGACGAGGGGCCCCUCUCGGGUUACCGAAUUCAGACAAACUCCGAAUGCCAAUUAAUUUAACUUGGGAGUCAGAACAUGGGUGAUAAGGUCCGUGUUCGAAAGGGAAACAGCCCAGACCACCAGCUAAGGUCCCAAAAUAUAUGUUAAGUGGAAAAGGAUGUGGCGUUGCCCAGACAACUAGGAUGUUGGCUUAGAAGCAGCCAUCAUUUAAAGAGUGCGUAAUAGCUCACUAGUCGAGUGACACUGCGCCGAAAAUGUACCGGGGCUAAACAUAUUACCGAAGCUGUGGAUUGUCCUUUGGACAAUGGUAGGAGAGCGUUCUAAGGGCGUUGAAGCAUGAUCGUAAGGACAUGUGGAGCGCUUAGAAGUGAGAAUGCCGGUGUGAGUAGCGAAAGACGGGUGAGAAUCCCGUCCACCGAUUGACUAAGGUUUCCAGAGGAAGGCUCGUCCGCUCUGGGUUAGUCGGGUCCUAAGCUGAGGCCGACAGGCGUAGGCGAUGGAUAACAGGUUGAUAUUCCUGUACCACCUAUAAUCGUUUUAAUCGAUGGGGGGACGCAGUAGGAUAGGCGAAGCGU
Molecule: ribosomal RNA, 1270 nt
Filed under: Staphylococcus aureus
Lineage: Bacteria; Bacillati; Bacillota; Bacilli; Caryophanales; Staphylococcaceae
Description: partial 23S ribosomal RNA
Rfam family: Bacterial large subunit ribosomal RNA
Source: RNAcentral